GGGUGGAAUGGGAAUGGAUCAAUCUAUAUAGAACUCAAUCCUUACUCUCCUCUAUAGAUUCAAUUUUUCAUUCCGAUUCCGAUUCCGAUUCUGAUUCCGAUCACGAAUCAAACGCUUCGGGGGAUUUAGCCAUUCCGAUUCCAAUUCCAAGCCAUUCCGAUUCUCAUUUCCAUUCUGCUUUCAGUUACGAACCAAACACCCCCUGAGUUUUAUAUAGAUUGAGCCAUUCCCAUACC
RNAcentral lists this long non-coding RNA (236 nucleotides) under Elaeis guineensis (African oil palm). RNAcentral describes it as "long non-coding RNA (EGUI_LNC052363)". The record is from RNAcentral. Lineage: Eukaryota; Viridiplantae; Streptophyta; Magnoliopsida; Arecales; Arecaceae.